RNAcentral lists this long non-coding RNA (1327 nucleotides) under Ficedula albicollis (Collared flycatcher). Its description in RNAcentral is "lncRNA (ENSFALG00000028937.1)". The record is from RNAcentral. Lineage: Eukaryota; Metazoa; Chordata; Aves; Passeriformes; Muscicapidae.
ACUACAAAGCAGAAGGACCAGAGAAAAAGAAAGACAAAUGCCGCCUCUGGAAUCCUGAGGUACCUUCUCUGAGGGAGGAAAUGGGGUUCCUCUGACUCCCUGGAUUCUGGGUUUGUUUUCCUUUACUGCUUCUGUCACACACUCACAACUUGGACCUUGACAUGCUGCUGCUUCAGACAAGCUCUUCAGUUAGGACUGGGACAAAGUGAAGUCCAGCUAAUGUCGCGUGUCUCCUUGUGGCUGAUCCCCAAGAUGGAUUUAUAGGACAAAGAAAUAGCCCUUCCUUCUGGUUACAAUCCCCUGAAAUCCUAUAAGGCUGGCAUUGUGAGAAUUGCUUUUUUCCACCUCACAGAUCUCUUCUGUGGAUCCAGCCAAUGUUAAAUGGUUGUGUAUGACCCACAGUUUAGAUCUUUAUUUCUUCUGCCUAGGUUCUCUCUAGCUUGGGCAGGUGGAUUUUGUCCCAUUUUGAAAUAUUUGCUCAAGAGAGAUGCCAAAUACACUGGCCGUGUCUGCCCUUUUUGUUCUUUUGUCCCUUGAUCCCUCUCCUUAGGCUUGUUGGCAGAAGAAUUUUCGAGCAGGGAAGUGGGUGUGGAAGAAGUCUGUGCCAGUUCUCACACGUGUCUUUUAAAUUACACAGCCUAAUAGUGAAGUUCUAGAUAAAGCAGCAGUCCCUGUGCUGCUUCCUCCUGGAAUGUUCCCAGAGCCCUCUGUUGCCAAGGGGAGCAUCAAAGGGACCUGGAAAGCAGCAGGAGCAGCAAAAGAAGAAGACAAUGGCUCCCUCUGCAAUCCUAAGCAUCUCGGUGGUCUUAUAGACAAAGUGAUUAACCCCGUGCAGCGUCCUGCUGGAAAACGCAGCAGAGUGGGUGAGCGCUCUGCGGCUAAGGAGCAUGGCAAAGGUAAUUUCAGAGGCACUACCUGGUUACGUUUAUAAGUUUCUCUGGAGAGUGAAACAAGCACUCAGGUCUAUCAUGAACUUCUUAUGUUUUUCUUAGGGGUCUUGCAACCAGCAGGAGGAGCAGCAGAAAAGGAAGACACUGAUUCUUCCCUGGAUUCUGAGACUGAUCCUAAAAGUCAAGGGAGAGUGUGGACCAGUGUGUGGCUUCCUGCUGCAAAAGGCAACAGGUUGGAUGCGCGCUCUGCCAAAGUGGAAUGUGGCAAAGGUGUCUCGUCAGCAGCAUCAGUAGAAGCAGAAAAGGAAGAUGGUGAUCUCUCUUGGGGUUCUGAGGUACCUUCUCUGAGGGAGACGGGGGGCCCUCUGGCUCACCUACUUCUGAACUCAAUCUAUUUUGAUGCUGCUUCUGCCACACUCUCCUUACUUGGACCUUAA